This 75-nucleotide transfer RNA is filed under the name Dehalococcoidia bacterium. RNAcentral describes it as "tRNA-Met". It matches the Rfam family "tRNA". From Rfam's summary of the family: Transfer RNA (tRNA) molecules are approximately 80 nucleotides in length. Their secondary structure includes four short double-helical elements and three loops (D, anti-codon, and T loops). Further hydrogen bonds mediate the characteristic L-shaped molecular structure. tRNAs have two regions of fundamental functional importance: the anti-codon, which is responsible for specific mRNA codon recognition, and the 3' end, to which the tRNAs corresponding amino acid is attached (by aminoacyl-tRNA synthetases). tRNAs cope with the degeneracy of the genetic code in two manners: having more than one tRNA (with a specific anti-codon) for a particular amino acid; and 'wobble' base-pairing, i.e. permitting non-standard base-pairing at the 3rd anti-codon position. Lineage: Bacteria; Bacillati; Chloroflexota; Dehalococcoidia. The record is from RNAcentral.
GGGCUCAUAGCUCAACGGCAGAGCGGCCGGCUCAUAACCGGCUGGUUGGGGGUUCGAAUCCCUCUGAGCCCACCG